RNAcentral lists this unclassified non-coding RNA (357 nucleotides) under soil metagenome. RNAcentral describes it as "partial contains 5.8S ribosomal RNA, internal transcribed spacer 2, and large subunit ribosomal RNA". The stretch from base 1 to 120 matches the Rfam family "5.8S ribosomal RNA", at positions 35 to 154 of the family's 154-position model. The record is from RNAcentral.
GAUGAAGAACGUAGUGAAAUGCGAUAAGUAAUGUGAAUUGCAGAAUUCAGUGAAUCAUCGAAUCUUUGAACGCACAUUGCGCCCGUCAGUAUUCUGGCGGGCAUGCCUGUUCGAGCGUCAUUACGCCCCUCAAGUCCCCUGUGGACUUGGUGUUGGGGAUCGGCGAGGCUGGUUUUCCAGCACAGCCGUCCCUUAAAUUAAUUGGCGGUCUCGCCGUGGCCCUCCUCUGCGCAGUAGUAAAACACUCGCAACAGGAGCCCGGCGCGGUCCACUGCCGUAAAACCCCCCAACUUUUUAUAGUUGACCUCGAAUCAGGUAGGACUACCCGCUGAACUUAAGCAUAUCAAUAAGCGGGGA